GACGAACGCUGGCGGCGUGCUUAACACAUGCAAGUCGAACGAUGAAGCUGGAGCUUGCUCUAGCGGAUUAGUGGCGAACGGGUGAGUAACACGUGAGCAAUCUGCCCUUGACUCUGGAAUAACUGCGGGAAACUGUAGCUACUACCGGAUACGUGACUUAGACGCAUCUCUGCGUCUGGAAAGAAUUUCGGUCAAGGAUGAGCUCGCGGCCUAUCAGCUAGUUGGUGAGGUAAUGGCUCACCAAGGCGACGACGGGUAGCCGGCCUGAGAGGGUGACCGGCCACACUGGGACUGAGACACGGCCCAGACUCCUACGGGAGGCAGCAGUGGGGAAUAUUGCACAAUGGGCGAAAGCCCGAUGCAGCAACGCCGCGUGAGGGAUGAAGGCCUUCGGGUUGUAAACCUCUUUUAGCAGGGAAGAAGCGAAAGUGACGGUACCUGCAGAAAAAGCACCGGCUAACUACGUGCCAGCCGCCGCCGUAA
This 483-nucleotide ribosomal RNA is filed under the name uncultured bacterium. RNAcentral describes it as "partial 16S ribosomal RNA". It matches the Rfam family "Bacterial small subunit ribosomal RNA", at positions 28 to 523 of the family's 1533-position model. The record is from RNAcentral.